Long non-coding RNA from Venturia canescens, 1368 nucleotides. RefSeq lists it as uncharacterized. The transcript has 3 exons. The record is from RefSeq and is a predicted model, not a curated record. Lineage: Eukaryota; Metazoa; Arthropoda; Insecta; Hymenoptera; Ichneumonidae.
UUGCGAGCCGUGAUAAUAUGGUCCUGGAUAAGCAGCUGGUGCUGGAUAACCCGCGUACGCGUAUUGUUGCUUUUGCGGAUAAACUGUGGAAAAGAAAAACAAUAGUUGAGAUAAGCGUUAAGGCGGACAGGAGCCUCUUCGUAAAACACAUUCUCGCUGUUCCUGAGCAGACAUGGGUCGGAGUUUACGUCAUUGGCAAAUUUCAUCACCUAACCGAGGGGAGAAAAGCUCUUAGACUCUGGCGAGGCUGGAUUAACGAGGGAAAAAAAUUGAUAAAGGGAGGAAAGUCGAGCGUGGGCAUACGCGAUUAUUGGAUUUCACGAGUUUCGCGGGGCAAAUACGAAGUGAAUAAAAAACGAAAAAAUUUGAAUAAUUUCUCGACACUCGAAAUAAAAAAUUGAUCAGCGUUGUGUUUUAACGACAAUUUUAACAAGAAGGAGCAAAAUCAUUCUCGUGAAAUUAAAACUUGAGGAACAAGGAGAGGGAACAUCGCGUUAAGGAGAAAAGGAUGUCAAGUGUGACGAGAAAGAAAAAAGAAUAUUCCGAGGCACCCAUACUACGCUGAUACACGCGUCCCCCGUUCUCUGCGUCAUUAAACAUUCUAAGUUCAUCCUGACACGACGAAAGAAAAAGGAGAAAGAAAGAUCUCGCCGAUAAUGAACGGUACGAGUCGACUUUCUUGGAUGGGACCAGUAACAGAAACGCGAAUUAUGUUGAAAUAUGAAUUGAGCAUGCGAAUGUGUCAGGCUCUCAGAACCAGAGUCGACAACCAACAAUAUUUGCACUAUUGAAAUAUUGAAGAAAGCAGGCAAAAAAUAAUUGAAUGUUUUCGUCGUCAAACAUGAUCAAUAAACACAAAUAAUCCCAGACAUUCGCUUUUUUACGCUUCAUCGAACAAAAUACAAUUCUUCGUGGAUGGUACAAAGAGCAGCAUUUUUCAAGUAUUAUAAAAACUCAUAAAAAUGAGAACGAAAAAUAAAUGUUUUAUUUUCCUAUUCGUUUUCCUCCAUAAUUUUCAAUUUGCAGUGUUUCAACAUACACGAAUGAAUCGUGACGUAAAAAAUUGGAGGAUUCACGAAUGUUUUUUCUUCGUUCGUCUUCUUUUUUGAUCACACAUGCCGGAAGAUAUUCCCCAGGCGACGAUUGAGAAAGCUUUUAAUAACUGCAACCGUUUAGAGUUCAAACAAUCUAACAAUUAUUCAAUGAACAUACACGAACAGAAAAUAAUGCAACAGGGAUUACGAAAACUCGCAAUUCGUGUCUUAAUAGCAAAAGACGCUAUUCCGUCGUAAUUCGUUUCAUUUCUGAAGCAUGCUGAUGAACAAUUAUCUCGAUCGAUGCGCGUGUGAGUGUAAACAUACAGGGAAU